GGGGGUACGUUGACCGGAAUAUUCGGGCGUAAGGGCUCGCAGGCGGUUUCUUAAGUCUGAUGUGAAAGCCCCCGGCUCAACCGGGGAGGGUCAUUGGAAACUGGGGAACUUGAGUGCAGAAGAGGAGAGUGGAAUUCCACGUGUAGCGGUGAAAUGCGUAGAGAUGUGGAGGAACACCAGUGGCGAAGGCGACUCUCUGGUCUGUAACUGACGCUGAGGAGCGAAAGCGUGGGGAGCGAACAGGAUUAGAUACCCUGGUAGUCCACGCCGUAAACGAUGAGUGCUAAGUGUUAGGGGGUUUCCGCCCCUUAGUGCUGCAGCUAACGCAUUAAGCACUCCGCCUGGGGAGUACGGUCGCAAGACUGAAACUCAAAGGAAUUGACGGGGGCCCGCACAAGCGGUGGAGCAUGUGGUUUAAUUCGAAGCAACGCGAAGAACCUUACCAGGUCUUGACAUCCUCUGACAAUCCUAGAGAUAGGACGUCCCCUUCGGGGGCAGAGUGACAGGUGGUGCAUGGUUGUCGUCAGCUCGUGUCGUGAGAUGUUGGGUUAAGUCCCGCAACGAGCGCAACCCUUGAUCUUAGUUGCCAGCAUUCAGUUGGGCACUCUAAGGUGACUGCCGGUGACAAACCGGAGGAAGGUGGGGAUGACGUCAAAUCAUCAUGCCCCUUAUGACCUGGGCUACACACGUGCUACAAUGGACAGAACAAAGGGCAGCGAAACCGCGAGGUUAAGCCAAUCCCACAAAUCUGUUCUCAGUUCGGAUCGCAGUCUGCAACUCGACUGCGUGAAGCUGGAAUCGCUAGUAAUCGCGGAUCACAUGCCCGGGGGGAAAACCUUUCCCGGGCCUUGUACACACCGCCCGUCACACCACGGAGAGUUUGUAACACCCGAAGUCGGUGAGGUAACCUUUUAGGAGCCAGCCGCCGAAGGUGGGACAGAUGAUUGGGUGACAGAAAAAAACCGGGAAAAAAAAGAAAAAAAAAAAAAGGCGGGG
RNAcentral lists this ribosomal RNA (996 nucleotides) under Bacillus subtilis. Its description in RNAcentral is "bacterial SSU rRNA". It matches the Rfam family "Bacterial small subunit ribosomal RNA", at positions 532 to 1533 of the family's 1533-position model. Lineage: Bacteria; Bacillati; Bacillota; Bacilli; Caryophanales; Bacillaceae. The record is from RNAcentral.